UGAAUACGAGACGCUAAGGCGUCGAAGUAGUGUAUGUCAUACUUCCAAGAAAAGCUUGCACUGUCAUAGAUAAAAAACGCCUGUACCAUAACCGACACAGGUGGGUAGGUAGAGUAUACUAAGGGGCGCGAGAUAACUCUCUCUAAGGAACUCGGCAAAAUAACUCCGUAACUUCGGGAGAAGGAGUGCCUUAUUCGUAAGGUUGCAAUAACAAGAUCCAAGCAACUGUUUAUCAAAAACACAGGUCUCCGCUAAGUCGUAAGACGAUGUAUGGGGGCUGACGCCUGCCCAGUGCCAGAAGGUUAAAGAAGUUGGUUAGCAAUUGCGAAGCUGAUAACUGAAGCCCUGGUGAACGGCGGCCGUAACGAUAACGGUCCUAAGGUAGCGAAAUUCCUUGUCGGGUAAGUUCCGACCCGCACGAAAGGCGUAAUGAUUUGGAUACUGUCUCGGAGAGGGGCUCGGUGAAAUAGACUUGUCUGUGAAGAUGCGGACUACCUGCACCAGGACAGAAAGACCCUAUGAAGCUUUACGGUAACUUGAAAUUGAAAUUGGACUUUAUUCGCGCAGUAUAGGUGGGAGGCGUUGAUUAUAAUCUUGUGGGAUUAUUGGAGCCAUCAGUGAGAUACCACUCUUGUAAUGUUGGAUUUCUAACUUUGAAUCAUUAUCUGGUCAAAGAACAGUUUCAGGCGGGCAGUUUGACUGGGGCGGUCGCCUCCUAAACGGUAACGGAGGCGUACAAAGGUUUCCUCUGAACGGUUAGAAAUCGUAUCUAGAGUGUAAAGGCAUAAGGAAGCUUGACUGUGAGACCUACAAGUCGAGCAGGGACGAAAGUCGGUCUUAGUGAUCUGACGGUACUGAGUGGAAAGGCCGUCACUCAACGGAUAAAAGUUACUCUAAGGAUAACAGGCUGAUCUCCCCCAAGAGUUCACAUCGACGGGGAGGUUUGGCACCUCGAUGUCGGCUCAUCGCAUCCUGGGGCGGUAGUACGUCCCAAGGGUUGGGCUGUUCGCCCAUGAAAGCGGUACGCGAGCUGGGUUCAGAACGUCGUGAGACAGUUCGGUCCAUAUCCGGUGUAGGCGUUAGAAUAUUGAGAGGAGCCUUCUUUAGUACGAGAGGACCGAGAAGGACAUACCUCUGGUGUACCAGUUAUCGUGCCAACGGUAAACGCUGGGUAGCUAUGUAUGGAGUGGAUAACCGCUGAAAGCAUCUAAGUGGGAAGCCCACCUCAAGAUAAGUAUUCUC
This 1242-nucleotide ribosomal RNA is filed under the name metagenome. Its description in RNAcentral is "bacterial LSU rRNA". It matches the Rfam family "Bacterial large subunit ribosomal RNA", at positions 1564 to 2815 of the family's 2925-position model. The record is from RNAcentral.